UACACUUUAAAUCCUUUAACGAGGAUCUAUUGGAGGGCAAGUCUGGUGCCAGCAGCCGCGGUAAUUCCAGCUCCAAUAGCGUAUAUUAAAGUUGCUGCGGUUAAAAAGCUCGUAGUUGGAUCUCAGUCUCGGUCGGACGGUCCACUUCACGGUGGUACUGUUCGAAUCGGACAUUUGGCCGCCUUUCUCAGUAUGCUCUUCACUGAGUGUAUUGGGAGAGUGGCACGUUUACUUUGAAAAAAUUAGAGUGCUCAAAGCAGGCAAUUGCCUGAAUCUUCGUGCAUGGAAUGAUGGAAUAGGGCCUCGGUUCUAUUUUGUUGGUUUCCGGAACUCGAGGUAAUGAUUAAGAGGGACGGACGGGGCAUUCGUAUUGCGACGUUAGAGGUGAAAUUCUUAGAUCGUCGCAAGACGAACUACUGCGAAAGCAUUUGCCAAGAAUGUUUUCAUUAAUCAAGAACGAAAGUCAGAGGUUCGAAGGCGAUCAGAUACCGCCCUAGUUCUGACCUUAAACGAUGCUAUCUGGCGAUCCGUCGGUGUUAAUUCCAAUGACCCGACGGGCAGCUUCCGGGAAACCAAAGUGUUCAAGUUCCGGGGGAAGUAUGGUUGCAAAACUGGAACUUAAAGGAAUUGACGGAAGGGCACCACCAGGAGUGGAGCCUGUGGCUUAAUUUGACCCAACACGGGAAAUCUCACCAGGCCCGGACACUGGCAGGAUUGACAGAUUGAUAGCUCUUUCUUGAUUCAGUGGGUGGUGGUGCAUGGCCGUUCUUAGUUGGUGGAGUGAUUUGUCUGGUUAAUUCCGAUAACGAACGAGACCCCGUCCUACUUACUAGACUGAGGAUUCUUUUGUCCUCAGAAUCUUCUUAGAGGGACAACUGGCGUUUAUCUAGCUACAUGAAAUGGGGCAAUAACAGGUCUGUGAUGCCCUUAGAUGUUCUGGGCCGCACACGCGCUACACUGAAGGGAUCAUCGUGUUUGUCCUAGCCUGAAAAGGCCGGGAAAUCUGUUGAAAUCUCUUCGUGCUAGGGAUUGAGGCUUGCAAUUUUUUCUCAUGAACGAGGAAUUCCCAGUAAGUGCGAGUCAUAAGCUCGCGCUGAUUACGUCCCUGCCCUUUGUACACACCGCCCGUCGCUACUACCGAUUGGAUGAUUUAGUGAGGCCUUCGGACUGGCUGCUAGUGGGGCACUUGUGUCCUGCUGGUGGAUCGGGAAGAUGUUCAAACUGUAUCAUCUAGA
RNAcentral lists this ribosomal RNA (1235 nucleotides) under metagenome. Its description in RNAcentral is "SSU rRNA". It matches the Rfam family "Eukaryotic small subunit ribosomal RNA", at positions 519 to 1777 of the family's 1831-position model. The record is from RNAcentral.